UGGGGAAUCUUGCGCAAUGCGCGAAAGCGUGACGCAGCAACACCGCGUGGGGGAAGACGGCCUUCGGGUUGUAAACCCCUUUCAGGAGGGACGAAGGCCGGCCGGUGAAUAGCCGUGCCGGUUGACGGUACCUCCAGAAGAAGCCCCGGCUAACUACGUGCCAGCAGCCGCGGUAAUACGGAGGGUGCAAGCGUUGUUCGGAUUUAUUGGGCGUAAAGCGAGUGUAGGCGGUUUGGAAAGUCGGGUGUGAAAUCCCAGGGCCCAACCCUGGAACUGCAUCCGAUACUGUCAAGCUAGAGUCCCGGAGAGGGUGGCGGAAUUCCCGGUGUAGGGGUGAAAUCCGUAGAUAUCGGGAGGAACACCAGUGGCGAAGGCGGCCACCUGGACGGUGACUGACGCUGAGACUCGAAAGCGUGGGUAGCAAACAGGAUUAGAUACCCUGGUAGUCCACGCCGUAAACGGUGAGUGCUCGUCGUCGUGGGUAUUGACCCCUGCGGUGACCAAGCUAACGCAUGAAGCACUCCGCCUGGGAAGUACGGUCGCAAGACUA
This 550-nucleotide ribosomal RNA is filed under the name uncultured bacterium. Its description in RNAcentral is "bacterial SSU rRNA". It matches the Rfam family "Bacterial small subunit ribosomal RNA", at positions 355 to 896 of the family's 1533-position model. The record is from RNAcentral.